UCCCUAGUGAUCCAGUGGUUAAGACUCUGCACUUUCAAAGCAGAGGUUGCAGGUUCGAUUCUUGGCCAGGGAA
This 73-nucleotide transfer RNA is filed under the name Bos taurus (domestic cattle). It matches the Rfam family "tRNA". Rfam says of the family: Transfer RNA (tRNA) molecules are approximately 80 nucleotides in length. Their secondary structure includes four short double-helical elements and three loops (D, anti-codon, and T loops). The record is from Rfam by way of RNAcentral. Lineage: Eukaryota; Metazoa; Chordata; Mammalia; Artiodactyla; Bovidae.